CUCCACUGUGUUGUCUAUUAUACCUGCCCCUUCUUGCCCUCACAAACACACUGACACUCGUACUUGCAUCUUCAUACUUUGGAAUUGUUGACCUAUUGCCCGCUGCCGCGGGAGUUGUUUCGGAGAUCGCUAAUUCAUUU
This is a non-coding RNA of Caenorhabditis elegans, 140 nucleotides long. Lineage: Eukaryota; Metazoa; Nematoda; Chromadorea; Rhabditida; Rhabditidae. The record is from Ensembl.